This 2805-nucleotide long non-coding RNA is filed under the name Homo sapiens (human). RNAcentral's name for it is "HSALNT0291261". The record is from RNAcentral. Lineage: Eukaryota; Metazoa; Chordata; Mammalia; Primates; Hominidae.
UCUUGUACCCUUUGACCAUCAUUUUCCCUAUUCCCCUCAGCCCUCAGCCUCUGGUAACCACCAUUCUACUUUGUUUCUAUGGAUUCAAUUGUUUUAGAUUCUACAUGCAAGUGGUAACGUGGUAUUAGUCUGUGCCUGGCUUAUUUCACUUAGCAUAAUGUUCUCCAGCUCCAUCCAUGUUGUUGCAAAUAACAGAAUUUCUUUCUUUUUCAAGGCUGAAUAGUAUUCCAUCAUUUAUAAAUACAUUUUCUUUAUUUUUUCAUCCAUUGAUGGGGUAGACUCCAACUUGUAUGCGGAAUGUUAGCUGCAUGGGAGUCUGGGAAAUAGUUUUUAUCUUUGCAGCCUCUGCAGUAUGAGGAAGUGUUUGGAAUGGAUGUUGAAAGUCAGUUCACCAUGUCUACACAGUCUAUCUUUUUGGACUUUUAGGGACCUAAAUCCGCUCCUUAAAAUAAGAGACCCCAAAUCCCAUCAGUCACAUAGCUAGCUGAUCCACCCUGGGUGAUUAUCAUUCUAGUUCAGUUACAAUUCUACCAUAACAGCAUAUAAUCUAAACACUAAAUUAACAAGUUACCAACAGUAAUACAUUUCAUUAUACUAGGGAAAAUAUGGGAGGGGAAAAUGAGUUAAUAUCUAUAAAUUAACACAAUAGAGCAAGGAAGAAAAUAUGAAAUGCUAAUAUAGUGCCCGUUUCUCAGCUUUUCAUGAGUUAGUUGUUUCUAUUUAUAUAUAUUUCUUUCUCCACCAUCCAGUCCAUGAUCCUUCUUCCUCAGCCAGUAUAUGAACUGGAUUAAGUUCUUUAUCUGGUGGGGUGACCCAAAUCACGGAGGUAGACAUUCUCUUAAUUUCCACAGGGAUUAUCUCCUAUCCUUAGAACACAUGUUUUACCAGGGCAUUUGGAUACCUGCUACUUCUUGCUUGCAAGAUUCCAGACAUGUAGAACAAUGUUCUGGGAGAUGUGAGAUGAUUAAAGUGCCUGCAGAUUAGACUGCAACAGAGCUGCAAGGGUGAUAUAACCCAGAUGCAGGACAGUGUAAUGUACUGUUGACCCUGACAGGUGAAAGUAAUCUGUUUUUGAUGUUUUCUGCUAUUUGGGCUAGAGAAAAAAGCAUAUUCCAGGUCAGUACUCAUAUUCAGUUGCACGACUGUAGGGGCCGGGGCAGGUGUUGAUUUGCUUCAUAAAGAGAUUAUAUCUAAAAUAACAGCUAAAAAUCAAGUCCUGCAUAGGCCAAACAAGUAAAUUAAAUGUGGAUAUGAUAGGAGCCAUCAUUCCUGAAAUUUCUGUCUUUGAUGCGGACACUAAUAUCCAUCAUUCCCUUAGGGAUGCACUAUCGCUUUUGGUUUAUGUUUUUGGUGGGAAAGGGCAAUUUCAAGGGUUCCCUUUGCUCUUCUUACCACAACAGCUUUCACUCCAUGAGUCACUCAAUGUGCAGAUUCUACCAGUCGCCGAGUGCGUCUACUACAACUGUGCCUAAAGGAACUGGUAAUGAGUACGUGAGAUCGAUGCAGGCCAGAACUCCUUUUUAUCACCUGACCCCCGUAUAUUAGUUUGCUAGGGCUCCCAUAACAAAGUACCAUAAACUGGGUGACUUAAGUAACAGAAAUUUAUUGUCUCACAGUUCAGGAAGCUAGAAGUCCUAGAUUUUGGCAGAAUUGGUUCCUUCCGCGGGCUGUGGGGGAGGAUCUGUUCCUUGCCGCUCCCAGCUUCUGAUGGUUUGCUGGCAAUCCUUGGUGUCCCUUGGCCUCUGCUGCAUCACCCCAGUCUCUGCCUUCAUCUUCACAUGGUACUUAGCCUAUGUGCAUGUCUUUGUGUUCAGAUUUCCCCUUUUUAUAUGUACAACAAUCGAAUUAGGGGGCCACCCUAUGCCAAUAAGACCUCAUCUUAAUUAUAUCUGCAACAACCUCAUUUUCCAAAUAAGGGCACAUUUUGAGGUACUAGGGGCUAGGACUUCAACAUAUGAUUUUUGGUGGAAGGGACACAAUUCGACCCAUAACACCAUGGAAGCCUCUAUUCUAACUAGUGGACCACAAAGGCUUUUUAGGUCUCAGCAUUUGUGCUGGCUUAGGGCCAGUUUCCAAGUAAUCCCUAAAGGCCUGGGCAUUUCCAUUUCCCUAAGCACACAUGCAUAGUUACAUGGCUUAAGAUCCCUUUGGGGAAAACGAGAAGAUUUAUGAUAUAGUUAUGGUGGUAUUGCUGGGUGCUUCCUCCAGAGUACCCUGCACCCCCUUUUUCAAGGGCUUCAGCUCUGAGAAUUGUCUGUAAAUCUCCAUUUUGGUGACUCAAAACAGGCCUCUAUUUGCCAGACCUGAAGAUUUGUUUUGCGUUCUAUAAGCCAAAUAGAACCUUGGUAGGUAACCCAUGUAUUUCAUCACUACAGCUCUGUUGCCUUGGUACUACCCCUUGGCCACUGGCACUGCAGGAUCCCAUCAUCUCUACUGAUAUCAGGGAUUCCUUUACAAUGGUAACAUCUCUUAGCUUCAUUUCCAGCCUAGGGAAGGUACACACUACAAACUUUUCAAGAUAAGGUGUUUCCCUUGUUUAAAGUACUUUUCAAUUCCUUGCUGAAAGAAAUAACCUCUUGGCAAUUUUGAAGGGCAAAAUUAGGAGGUGCAGGGAAAUGUGUGAAGUCUGGCUGCAGUGCCCAAGAGAUAAGAAUCUUCUAAGCUGGCUGUUGUCCAGACUUGCCAUCCUCAUUGUAGUAAAACACUGGCCAGGAAGACAAAAGUGCAUCUGUGAAAGGAAACAGAAAGUCAUCUGGUCUUCAGGGAAAGGAGGAUUUCAAUUUUUCCUCUGGGCCCAGGACUAAG